RNAcentral lists this ribosomal RNA (468 nucleotides) under uncultured bacterium. RNAcentral describes it as "partial 16S ribosomal RNA". It matches the Rfam family "Bacterial small subunit ribosomal RNA", at positions 28 to 507 of the family's 1533-position model. The record is from RNAcentral.
GACGAACGCUGGCGGCGUGCUUAACACAUGCAAGUCGAACGGAAAGGCACUGCGUUUGUGGGGUGAUCGAGUGGCGAACGGGUGAGUAACACGAGAGUAACCUGCUCUUCACUUUGGGAUAACUUCAGGAAACUGGGGCUAAUACAGGAUAGGAGCUCCUGCUGCAUGGAGGGGAUUGGAACGUUUCGGCGGUUGGGGAUGGACUCGCGGCUUAUCAGCUUGUUGGUGGGGUAGUGGCUUACCAAGGCUUUGACGGGUAGCCGGCCUGAGAGGGUGGCCGGCGACAUUGGGACUGAGAUACGGCCCAGUCUCCUACGGGAGGCAGCAGUGGGGAAUAUUGCACAAUGGGCGGAAGCCUGAUGCAGCAACGCCGCGUGCGGGAUGACGGCCUUCGGGUUGUAAACCGCUUUCGCCUGUGACGAAGCGUGAGUGACGGUAAUGGGUAAAGAAGCACCGGCUAACUACGUG